GGUGCUGCGCCGGAUGAACGGAUAACUUUGAUGACGUUAAAUAUGAGGGCCCCCUCCGGCACCU
This 64-nucleotide transfer RNA is filed under the name Platynereis massiliensis. Its description in RNAcentral is "tRNA-Ile". Lineage: Eukaryota; Metazoa; Annelida; Polychaeta; Phyllodocida; Nereididae. The record is from RNAcentral.